GACGAACGCUGGCGGCGUGCUUAACACAUGCAAGUCGAACGGAAAGGCCCUGCUUUUGUGGGGUGCUCGAUUGGCGAACGGGUGAGUAACACGUGAGUAACCUGCCCUUGACUUUGGGAUAACUUCAGGAAACUGGGGCUAAUACCGGAUAGGAGCUCCUGCUGCAUGGGGGGGGUUGGAAAGUUUCGGCGGUUGGGGAUGGACUCGCGGCUUAUCAGCUUGUUGGUGGGGUAGUGGCUUACCAAGGCUUUGACGGGUAGCCGGCCUGAGAGGGUGACCGGCCACAUUAGGACUGAGAUACGGACCAGACUCCUACGGGAGGCAGCAGUGGGGAAUAUUGCACAAUGGGCGGAAGCCUGAUGCAGAAACGCCGCGUGCGGGAUGACGGCCUUCGGGUUGUAAACCGCUUUCGCCUGUGACGAAGCGUGAGUGACGGUAAUGGGUAAAGAAGCACCGGCUAACUACGUG
This 468-nucleotide ribosomal RNA is filed under the name uncultured bacterium. Its description in RNAcentral is "partial 16S ribosomal RNA". It matches the Rfam family "Bacterial small subunit ribosomal RNA", at positions 28 to 507 of the family's 1533-position model. The record is from RNAcentral.